UACGGAGGAUCCAAGCGUUAUCCGGAUUUAUUGGGUUUAAAGGGUGCGUAGGCGGAAUGAUAAGUCAGUGGUGAAAGCCCGCAGCUCAACUGCGGAACUGCCGUUGAUACUGUCAAUCUUGAGUACAUUUGAUGUGGGCGGAAUGUGUCAUGUAGCGGUGAAAUGCUUAGAUAUGACACAGAACACCGAUUGCGAAGGCAGCUCACAAAACUGUAACUGACGCUGAGGCACGAAAGCGUGGGGAGCGAACAGG
Molecule: ribosomal RNA, 253 nt
Filed under: uncultured bacterium
Lineage: Bacteria
Description: partial 16S ribosomal RNA
Rfam family: Bacterial small subunit ribosomal RNA
Source: RNAcentral